CCUACGGGCGGCUGCAGUGGGGAAUAUUGCACAAUGGGGGAAACCCUGAUGCAGCGACGCCGCGUGAGUGAAGAAGUAAUUCGUUACGUAAAGCUCUAUCAGCAGGGAAGAAACACUGACCUUACGGUCAGCAGACGGUACCUGAGUAAGAAGCCCCGGCUAACUACGUGCGAGCAGCCGCGGUUAUACGUAGGGGGCAAGCGUUAUCCGGGUUUACAGGGUGUAAAGGGAGCGUAGAGGGUACGCCAAGUCUGGCGGGAAAUGCCGCAGCUUAAGGGCGGACCUGCUUUUGAAACUGGCGAUCUAGAGUGCGGGAGGGGUAAGCGGAAUUCCUAGUGUAGCGGUGAAAUGCGUAGAGAUUAGGCGGAACACCGGUGGCGAAGGCUGCUUACUGGACCGUAACUGACGUUGAGGCUCGAAAGCGUGGGGAGCAAACAGGAUUAGAUACCCCUGUAGUC
This 458-nucleotide ribosomal RNA is filed under the name uncultured bacterium. RNAcentral's name for it is "partial 16S ribosomal RNA". It matches the Rfam family "Bacterial small subunit ribosomal RNA", at positions 338 to 795 of the family's 1533-position model. The record is from RNAcentral.